CCUACGGGUGGCAGCAGUGAGGAAUAUUGGUCAAUGGACGAGAGUCUGAACCAGCCAAGUAGCGUGAAGGAUGACUGCCCUAUGGGUUGUAAACUUCUUUUAUAAAGGAAUAAAACGCGGCACGUGUGCCUUUUUGCAUGUCCUUUAUGAAUAAGGCUCGGCUAACUCCGUGCCAGCAGCCGCGGUAAUACGGAGGAUCCGAGCGUUAUCCGGAUUUAUUGGGUUUAAAGGGAGCGUAGAUGGGGUGUUAAGUCAGUUGUGAAAGGUUGCGGCUCAACCGUAAAAUUGCAAUUGAUACUGGCAGUCUUGAGUACAGUUGAGGUAGGCGGAAUUCGUGGUGUAGCGGUGAAAUGCGUAGAUAUCACGAAGAACCCCGAUUGCGAAGGCAGCUUACUAAACUGUGACUGACAUUGAUGCUCGAAAGUGUGGGUAUCAAACAGGAUUAGAUACCCUUGUAGUC
Molecule: ribosomal RNA, 460 nt
Filed under: uncultured bacterium
Lineage: Bacteria
Description: partial 16S ribosomal RNA
Rfam family: Bacterial small subunit ribosomal RNA
Source: RNAcentral